RNAcentral lists this ribosomal RNA (265 nucleotides) under uncultured Planctomycetales bacterium. Its description in RNAcentral is "partial 16S ribosomal RNA". It matches the Rfam family "Bacterial small subunit ribosomal RNA", at positions 565 to 828 of the family's 1533-position model. Lineage: Bacteria; Pseudomonadati; Planctomycetota; Planctomycetia; Planctomycetales. The record is from RNAcentral.
GAGCACGUAGGUGGGUUUGUAAGUCAGAUGUGAAAGCCUUCUGUUCAACGGAAGAAUUGCAUCUGAAACUGCGAGUCUUGAGUGUAGGAGGGGAGAAUGGAACUUCUGGUGGAGCGGUGAAAUGCGUAGAUAUCAGAAGGAACGCCGGCGGCGAAAGCGAUUCUCUGGCCUAUUACUGACACUCAGUGUGCGAAAGCUAGGGGAGCAAACGGGAUUGGAUACCCCGGUAGUCCUAGCCGUAAACGAUGGGCACUAAUUAGAGGGG